Molecule: ribosomal RNA, 255 nt
Filed under: uncultured bacterium
Lineage: Bacteria
Description: partial 16S ribosomal RNA
Rfam family: Bacterial small subunit ribosomal RNA
Source: RNAcentral
UACGUAGGGUGCAAGCGUUUAAUCGGAAUUACUGGGCGUAAAGCGUGCGCAGGCGGUUUUGUAAGUCUGACGUGAAAGCCCCGGGCUUAACCUGGGAAUUGCGUUGGAGACUGCAAGGCUUGAAUCUGGCAGAGGGGGGUAGAAUUCCACGUGUAGCAGUGAAAUGCGUAGAGAUAUGGAGGAACACCGAUGGCGAAGGCAGCCCCCUGGGUCAAGAUUGACGCUCGAUGCACGAAAGCGUGGGGAGCAAACAGG